CUCCGCUGCGCGCCCGCGGAGCCGGCCCGACGGCGGGGACCCGGCCUCCGGACCCGGCCUCUGCGGAGCGCGGAGCGAGGCGAGCCCUCGGGGAGCGCUGCCCGCGGGAUUCCGUUUCGCUCGGAAAAAACUCGCCAAAAAGUCGCACCGUGCGCGCUGCUGCUGCUGUUAACGACCACGGCUGUUACGCGGCCGUCGCGCUCCCGGGGUCUUUGCACCGUUAGUUAAGCACUGGCGGCGGAGGGUUUACGCCCAGCAUCCAAAGCCCCCUUUAAACCCAACCUAACAGACAGUGAAGCUGCAGUAAAGAGGACUAAACUCAAGCUUGUAUGAGCAUCGAUGCGUCCAGCCGCAAUAACUUGAAUAGUAAUCACAUUCAGGUGCAUAGACUAGUUAGGGGAAAAAUCCUUUCGUAUCUUUCCAGGAAGGAAAUGCAAAGGGACGUUUAUGCGUGGAAAAAAUGCGACGCGCAAAACAAACAAGCAAGGUUACUUAAGGACUUUAUGGCCACAAAACAACUCCGUAGGCUGCUUUAGAAGCUGCCUUUACGGUCGCUGUUUGGAAGACUUCCCUUGAACGGUGCGCGGCUGUCGCUGCAGAAUCGGGCCUCCUUUUCCCUCGCAGACACUGGCCGCCUCGACGAGCUCCCCUGAAACAUGACACUGCUCCGAGACGCCAUAUAAAAGAAUAGGCUUUGUUGGAGAGAUACAGGCGAGAGGGGCAGAAAACUCAGCAGCCUCCGUCGGCAGGGCCAAGCAAUGGGAUCAGCUGCCCGGGAAGGGCUCGGGCUUGCAAGCGACACGCGAGGCGCCGCGUUCAGCUGAUACUGGCCGCUCCGGAUUUUUACAAACAGCAUUUCUUCUGAGCGACAGAAAAGCCGAGCCUCUAGGCGAAAGCCAUUAAUGCUUUUCUCGUUUCCAGGGAGGGGUAUUUCACCAUCAGCUAUAAAUAAACCGAAAUAAUUGUACA
This 969-nucleotide long non-coding RNA is filed under the name Dromaius novaehollandiae (emu). Its description in RNAcentral is "lncRNA (ENSDNVG00000017714.1)". The record is from RNAcentral. Lineage: Eukaryota; Metazoa; Chordata; Aves; Casuariiformes; Dromaiidae.